This 86-nucleotide ribosomal RNA is filed under the name Vibrio cholerae. Its description in RNAcentral is "partial 16S ribosomal RNA". It matches the Rfam family "Bacterial small subunit ribosomal RNA", at positions 1 to 84 of the family's 1533-position model. The record is from RNAcentral. Lineage: Bacteria; Pseudomonadati; Pseudomonadota; Gammaproteobacteria; Vibrionales; Vibrionaceae.
UUUAAUUGAAGAGUUUGAUCAUGGCUCAGAUUGAACGCUGGCGGCAGGCCUAACACAUGCAAGUCGAGCGGCAGCACAGAGGAACU